This is a long non-coding RNA of Vespa mandarinia (Asian giant hornet), 265 nucleotides long. Lineage: Eukaryota; Metazoa; Arthropoda; Insecta; Hymenoptera; Vespidae. The record is from RefSeq and is a predicted model, not a curated record.
GUUUGUGUAUAUAUAUAUAUAUAUUAUAUCUUUCAAUAUCUAUUUGUAUAAUAGAAAUAUUAUAUUUUACGCUUGCUACGUAUAAUGUUCGGUACGAUCGAUUCUCCAAUAAUACAGAAAACCGUCACGUGUACCUUCCAUUGAAACGAGCGUGCGUAUUGACAUACGUUUAUCAUGCAUUUUCUAAGUCGUGGUUGCUACAGAAGACUAGUGAUAGGUAUUCUUAUUUCAGAUAUUUGUUGAUGAAAAGAAUAAAAAAAAAAAA